Molecule: non-coding RNA, 30 nt
Filed under: Rattus norvegicus (Norway rat)
Lineage: Eukaryota; Metazoa; Chordata; Mammalia; Rodentia; Muridae
Source: RNAcentral
UUUGACACAGACAGGACUCGAUACAGAGCC